UGAACUACACCCUCUCCCCUGUUCAUAG
This 28-nucleotide non-coding RNA is filed under the name Mus musculus (house mouse). Lineage: Eukaryota; Metazoa; Chordata; Mammalia; Rodentia; Muridae. The record is from RNAcentral.